Molecule: long non-coding RNA, 831 nt
Filed under: Homo sapiens (human)
Lineage: Eukaryota; Metazoa; Chordata; Mammalia; Primates; Hominidae
Description: non-protein coding lnc-SELENOF-6:1
Source: RNAcentral
GGAGAAGAAGGCGGGGCUAAAACUGGCGAAGGCGUGGCUUCUUGGCUGCUUGACGAAGUGUCGUGAAUAAAAGAAAGGAGACCGCAGAAGUAAAGAAGUGGGGAGUUUAGGUGUCUGCUUUUGGGGCAGAGUUUUCAUCGGAGGCAUGCAGAGAGUUAGGCUUUUCUAGCAACUUGCUUUGCAGCUCUUGUGAUCUUCUCGGACAGUUCAACCUGCUUCAGCUGGAUCCUGAUUGCAGAGGAUGCUGUCAGGAGGAAGCACAAUUUGAAACCAAAAAGCUGUAUGCAGGAGCUAUUCUUGAAGUUUGUGGAUGAAAAUUGGGAAGGUUCCCUCAAGUCCAAGCUUUUGUUAGGAGUGAUAAACCCAAACUGUUCAGAGGACUGCAAAUCAAGUAUGUCCGUGGUUCAGACCCUGUAUUAAAGCUUUUGGACGACAAUGGGAACAUUGCUGAAGAACUGAGCAUUCUCAAAUGGAACACAGACAGUGUAGAAGAAUUCCUGAGUGAAAAGUUGGAACGCAUAUAAAUCUUGCUUAAAUUUUGUCCUAUCCUUUUGUUACCUUAUCAAAUGAAAUAUUACAGCACCUAGAAAAUAAUUUAGUUUUGCUUGCUUCCAUUGAUCAGUCUUUUACUUGAGGCAUUAAAUAUCUAAUUAAAUCGUGAAAUGGCAGUAUAGUCCAUGAUAUCUAAGGAGUUGGCAAGCUUAACAAAACCCAUUUUUUAUAAAUGUCCAUCCUCCUGCAUUUGUUGAUACCACUAACAAAAUGCUUUGUAACAGACUUGCGGUUAAUUAUGCAAAUGAUAGUUUGUGAUAAUUGGUCCAGUUUUACGAA